GCCAAGGAAUUCAACAAAUUUCAUAGUCAAAUAGACAAAUACCUGAGAAGCUUAGGGUUAUGGUUCAGUUUUACUGAAGCGUUCAUUGGGAAAAUUAUAUGGUACUUUCUAGUUCUUUUUUUAUUUUUACUUAUUUGUCCAUUUAUAACACUAGAUAUUUUUGUAAUUCCAUAUUUGCUGGAAAGAUCUAGAUUUCUAUAGAAGUCCUUAUUUAGAGUCCUUGUUGCUUAAGAAUCACUUUUUUGAUUACUUAAAGGGGACGAUUGGUAGUCGGAAUCUGCCAAGAGAAUAACCAGGAACGUUAAAUUCCAGUCUUUGGUUUAUAUGGGGACGUAACAUUCCUAGGAAAGUUUAAUUUCUAAAUUCUAAAUCAAUGAGUACCACCUCUACUUUUCUGUGUAUAUGGAGAAGUACUUUCCCAUCUCAAAGGGU
RNAcentral lists this unclassified non-coding RNA (432 nucleotides) under Hevea brasiliensis (rubber tree). The record is from RNAcentral. Lineage: Eukaryota; Viridiplantae; Streptophyta; Magnoliopsida; Malpighiales; Euphorbiaceae.